This is a long non-coding RNA of Cervus elaphus (red deer), 385 nucleotides long. RefSeq lists it as uncharacterized. The record is from RefSeq and is a predicted model, not a curated record. NCBI's taxonomy places the organism in Eukaryota, Metazoa, Chordata, Mammalia, Artiodactyla, Cervidae. The transcript has 3 exons.
UUAAAAUCCUCUAUGCCAAGGUCCUGACAUUUUUACUCAUUAGAUCUAAGAUGAAGCUGAGGAAUCAGAGUUUCAUGUGGCAUUUCAGGGGACUCACAAGUGUGAUGUGGAAGUGUACACAGUAGAGGGGGUCCCAGCUGUGCUGAGUCUGAACCUACUUCUAUCGGAAGGCCACACAGGUGGAGCCCCUGCCCAGCCGGGACGCGGAAGCUCUGGUCUACAUCUGGCACAGGAUGGCUGGGGGGAUUCAAAAGGUAUUUUAUGCUCUGUUUUCUACUAAAGAACGUCAUUCCACAGCAUCUGACUCUGACAGCUGACUCAAUGCACACAUAUGCAAAACACAGUUUUCUGUGAGACAACUUCUGGGAGAGAAAAACAAGUUGUU